UUUCCUGUAUUACGUUUCAUAGAUAACCCCGAGUGUUGGACUGAAAUGUAUUGCUGGCUGAAGACUUGAUGAUGUUUUGAGAUGAUCGGAAUGACGGUACUCUGGAUUCUGUGCUGGGUUCAUGCAGCCGCCGCAGUAUUCUCCUGCUGCUCAGCACUGAUCUCCCGGAAGGAUGAGCAGGACUCUGCAGCCACCGUGCCCCUGUCCUCCACAGCUGGGGCAGCUGAGGGGCAGGAGAGCUUGACUGGAGCUCCACCCUCGCUGUGCUAACAGGGUUUGAAAUUCCUUGUGUGGGGUGGUGUCUCCUUCAUGAAAAUUGAAGAAUACAAAGUUAAGUAUUUGUGUUUCUGGUUGUGUGUGUGUGUGUUUUUUUUUUUUGUCUCAGUGUGGUUGUUAAGUGAAAUGCAUUCGUUUAGUGUUAGCUGAAGUGCAGUUUAUGACAUUGGUAGCUUAGUUUGAAUGUAAUUCAUGAAGUGGAGUAAGUUGAAUGGAUUAGGACUCGUAUAUUUUUUAUUUUUCUGAAGUGGUUCAACUGAGUUGGUGUGUUUGUCUUGUCCAGUGUGUGUUAGCAUGCUGUGUUGAUGUCACCGGUAGCACCUUGUUUAGUUAAUACGGUGUUUCUGUAAAUACAGAGUAUUGUUCCUGGCUCUGUUUUCGAUUUUGUUUCAGGUUUGAUUCUUCUUGUCGGGUGUUUUGCUUCAUGAGUGUCCAAGAAUACAAAGUCAAGUGUAUUUUUUGUGUAACUUUUCUCUUUUCAGCACGGAGAAUCGGCUUAAAUGAAUGGCAGUGAAUGAAUAAUGAUGAUAGCAAUUGCAAUUGCAGAUGGGCGCUCAGGGUCCGAGUGAAAAAUAAAUUUAGCUGGAGGUCUCGUCCGCGGGUGCCUGACGGCUACCUGCGCGAGGCCAGCUAGAAAUACAUGAACAGAUACAUGCAUGCCAGUGCUGCAGAUAAGUGGCUGUA
Molecule: long non-coding RNA, 960 nt
Organism: Polyodon spathula (Mississippi paddlefish)
Lineage: Eukaryota; Metazoa; Chordata; Actinopteri; Acipenseriformes; Polyodontidae
Exons: 3
Source: RefSeq, a predicted model, not a curated record